GACGGAGGAUGCAAGUGUUAUCCGGAAUUACUGGGCGUAAAGCGUGCGCAGGCGGUUUUGUAAGCCAGAUGUGAAAUCCCCGGGCUCAACCUGGGAAUGGCAUUUGGGACUGCAAGGCUCGAGUGCGGCAGAGGAGACUGGAAUUCCUGGUGUAGCAGUGAAAUGCGUAGAUAUCAGGAGGAAUACCGAUGGCGAAGGCAGGUCUCUGGGCAGUAACUGACGCUGAGGAGCGAAAGCGUGGGGAGCGAACAGG
RNAcentral lists this ribosomal RNA (253 nucleotides) under uncultured bacterium. RNAcentral's name for it is "partial 16S ribosomal RNA". It matches the Rfam family "Bacterial small subunit ribosomal RNA", at positions 524 to 776 of the family's 1533-position model. The record is from RNAcentral.